This 21-nucleotide microRNA is filed under the name Medicago truncatula (barrel medic). RNAcentral describes it as "mtr-miR5214-5p". The record is from miRBase by way of RNAcentral. Lineage: Eukaryota; Viridiplantae; Streptophyta; Magnoliopsida; Fabales; Fabaceae.
UAGCUCUAUUAACAAUUAAAU